UACAGAGGGGGCAAGCGUUAUUCGGAAUUAUUGGGCGUAAAGGGCGCGUAGGCGGCCAUUCAAGUGACGGGUGAAAGCCCUCGGCUUAACCGAGGAACUGCCUGUCAGACUGGAUGGCUUGAGACCGGGAGAGGUGAGUGGAAUUCCGAGUGUAGAGGUGAAAUUCGUAGAUAUUCGGAAGAACACCAGUGGCGAAGGCGGCUCACUGGACCGGUAUUGACGCUGAGGUGCGAAAGCGUGGGGAGCAAACAGG
Molecule: ribosomal RNA, 253 nt
Filed under: uncultured bacterium
Lineage: Bacteria
Description: partial 16S ribosomal RNA
Rfam family: Bacterial small subunit ribosomal RNA
Source: RNAcentral